RNAcentral lists this ribosomal RNA (459 nucleotides) under uncultured bacterium. RNAcentral describes it as "partial 16S ribosomal RNA". It matches the Rfam family "Bacterial small subunit ribosomal RNA", at positions 338 to 795 of the family's 1533-position model. The record is from RNAcentral.
CCUACGGGAGGCUGCAGUGAGGAAUAUUGGUCAAUGGGCGAGAGCCUGAACCAGCCAAGCCGCGUGAGGGACGACGGUCCUAUGGAUUGUAAACCUCUUUUGUCGGGGAACAAAGGCGCCCACGGGUGGGCGGAUGAGUGUACCCGAAGAAAAAGCAUCGGCUAACUCCGUGCCAGCAGCCGCGGUAAUACGGAGGAUGCAAGCGUUAUCCGGAUUUAUGGGGUUUAACGGGUGCGUAGGCGGACAGUCAAGUCAGCGGUAAACAUGCGGUGCUCAACGCCGUACAGCCGUUGAAACUGGCAGUCUUGAGUGGGCGAGAAGUAUGCGGAAUGCGUGGUGUAGCGGUGAAAUGCAUAGAUAUCACGCAGAACUCCGAUUGCGAAGGCAGCAUACCGGCGCCCUACUGACGCUGAGGCACGAAAGCGUGGGUAUCGAACAGGAUUAGAUACCCGUGUAGUC